GAUGAACGCUGGCGGCGUGCCUAAUACAUGCAAGUCGAGCGAACAGACGAGGAGCUUGCUUCUCUGACGUUAGCGGCGGACGGGUGAGUAACACGUGGAUAACCUACCUAUCAGACUGGGAUAACUUCGGGAAACCGGAGCUAAUACCGGAUAAUAUAUUGAACCGCAUGGUUCAAUAGUGAAAGACGGUUUUGCUGUCACUUAUAGAUGGAUCCGCGCCGCUUUAGCUAGUUGGUAAGGUAACGGCUUACCAAGGCGACGAUGCGUAGCCGACCUGAGAGGGUGAUCGGCCACACUGGAACUGAGACACGGUCCAGACUCCUACGGGAGGCAGCAGUAGGGAAUCUUCCGCAAUGGGCGAAAGCCUGACGGAGCAACGCCGCGUGAGUGAUGAAGGUCUUCGGAUCGUAAAACUCUGUUAUUAGGGAAGAACAAAUGUGUAAGUAACUAUGCACGUCUUGACGGUACCUAAUCAGAAAGCCACGGCUAACUACGUG
RNAcentral lists this ribosomal RNA (497 nucleotides) under uncultured bacterium. RNAcentral describes it as "partial 16S ribosomal RNA". It matches the Rfam family "Bacterial small subunit ribosomal RNA", at positions 28 to 507 of the family's 1533-position model. The record is from RNAcentral.